Molecule: ribosomal RNA, 2313 nt
Filed under: Triticum aestivum (bread wheat)
Lineage: Eukaryota; Viridiplantae; Streptophyta; Magnoliopsida; Poales; Poaceae
Description: partial small subunit ribosomal RNA
Source: RNAcentral
UUCUCUCGGCGCGGAGGCUUGCCAAACACUCAUAGCCGCCACUGGUCGUGCGUUCUCUGCCGUCGCACCACGAGCCGCUAAACCUAGACUCACUUCGGUAGCCAACCGACCGACGGCCCCGCCGCGCGAUGAGCCGCCGCACCAGAGCUACAACACCACCAGCGACCCGUCAACCGCGCCGCACCACACGCCGCAGACGGAUCCAGAACCCGCCGCAGUACGCACCAGCAGCGCCGCCUCGAUACCGCUCACUAACAUCGCCGCGAGUUCACGCACGGGCACGAACACGACGAUGCACUUCCGCAACGAACGGUAAACCUAACUUAAAACCAACCCACACUCACGUGCCCAACUCCUUGUGUUACAGCCACGCUACGAAGGUUUACGUGGUCGUUUUCUCUUCCUUCUUGCAGCUGGCGCCCACUCGCUGUAGAGCGUCUAAGACCUGUCUCCGAUGACAUCCACCGACCUUGGUGUAGCACCGGGGCUUUAGUUGGUUAUUGCCCGUCUGUUUCUUCUCCACUGAGCGGUUAUUGUCACACCGCCUGACCCGUCCGUUGAUCUCCAAAUCUCGUUACUUUUUCCACUAAAACAAGAACUUAGCACGAAUUGUAAAUAAAUCGUUAGUUCGUGAACGUCGGGCCAAACUCUACACGAAGAACAACCAAGUACAUCUGUACGGUUGUUUCCGGAGUAUUUCUUUUUAUCUUUUUUUAUGUCAUCUAACCAAAACUAACAAGAGAACACAUCUGGUUUUAAUCGCUCGUUUUCUUUAACCUAAAACCAAGGUUUAAGAAAGGCACUCAAAUAGGGUCCUUAUUACAUAACAAGGAUAAACUAAACGAUGUACAUUGAAGGCAUCCGUUUAGAAGGUGGGCUACAAAGACAAGUUGUCGAGAGUUUCCGUAUCUCAGUUGGUCAGUCUGAAACUGGUCUACAGCUUGUAGAAGUCUUGGAACUAACGACUAGGAUCUAUGGAUUUGAGAUAAGACCGUUCAACAUGUACAUUAUUAAUCAAGAUCCUCCCAUACGUCUAACUUAAACGAUAUAACGUCAGACCUGAUGUUCGACGUUACAAAACUAUUGGUACCAGACCUACAUCUAUUAAAACUCUUUCGUAUGAAGAAAGGUACACGUAAAUCCGGAAUACCCUAAUUAGAGAGAUAGUAGUCAAGAAGAUCAUAAACUAACUUGGGAGAUUCUAUUAAGGUCAAAGUCAUUAAAUAGUUUAGUUAGAGUACCCUCUUCUAAACAGGAACCAAGUCAGUUUAGAGAAUAUAAAAGAAAUUUAGAUGCACGGAACAUCAACAUUCAUGAGAUGAUAGAAAAGUCAUUGUAAGACUGGAUAUAUACUCUUAAUACAUCGUGGAAAUAAUGCUGUCAUUACUAAGUGAUUCGAAGAUAGAAUGGUGUACCAGGUUAAAUAAAGGUCAACAACGGUGGAAGGGACCUAUGUAGUGUGGGAUAUAUCACACGAGGAUCGUACGAAACACAAAAAUCUAGUUUUGACAAGCAGACGUUGUUUAACUUCACAACCAGACCUUUAUUUUAAUAAAUCUUUCUCCGCUUGAUAGAUGAGUAAAAGAUGGUAGAUUUGAUCAUAUCUAUCACCAUGUACGAUCGCUUGUUUAUCAAAUAUGGGAUAAAGUCACACCCCAUGAUAAGACGAUAAGACACCUUCGUGGACGAUAAUAAAAACAAGUUUCGUAAGUAUUAAACCCAAAGACGUUCCCGAGACUUUUCUUUGUAUAAAAACUAUUUACAACACGCUACGUAGCAAGACGUGUGGAUUAGCGGAUGAAUCUUUUUCUUUAUUUUCAUCGACGUAAGCACACAUGAAACCUCACACAUAUCUACCAUCUUAUUAACAUGGGAACGAAACAUGAUUAUCAAAAUAAAUGUGACAUCCAUCAAGUGAUAUAUUCAAAGGACUAUUGACAUCCGACUACAAUUAUAAAAAAACCUUUCUUACCUUAUAGUCCUAUAAACUGUAACGUCUUAAUACGACUGUGCCACAAACUCCCAUAGUAACUACUCAAAGUUAGAACCUCUCCACGUCCGACGAACAGAAGAAAGACUUAGUACAAGGAGGACAAAAGAGGGACAACCCUCACAUAUCUCAAGAGGGACCACCCGACACAUUAGUCGCCCAAUAGAAUCAGGUACAUAUCUAAGGUCAAGACAAAGGAACUCUCGACUGGGACAUUAAGAUCGAGAUAAAAGGAUCUCGACUAUGGAUCUCAAAAGGGACAAAUUUAUUUCAAGUAGGGGUCCGGGAAGUUCUAUUGUGAUGAGGGGUCUAAUUUUACACUA